CCUACGGGAGGCAGCAGUGAGGAAUAUUGGUCAAUGGGCGCAAGCCUGAACCAGCCAUGCCGCGUGCAGGAAGAAUGCCCUACGGGUUGUAAACUGCUUUUAUUUGGGAAUAAACCUUUCUACGUGUAGAAAGCUGAAGGUACCAAUUGAAUAAGCACCGGCUAACUCCGUGCCAGCAGCCGCGGUAAUACGGAGGGUGCAAGCGUUAUCCGGAAUCAUUGGGUUUAAAGGGUCCGCAGGCGGACCUAUAAGUCAGUGGUGAAAGCCUACAGCUUAACUGUAGAACUGCCAUUGAAACUGUAGGUCUUGAAUUCGGUCGAAGUGGGCGGAAUGUGUAGUGUAGCGGUGAAAUGCAUAGAUAUUACACAGAACACCGAUAGCGAAGGCAGCUCACUAGGCCUGGAUUGACGCUCAGGGACGAAAGCGUGGGGAUCAAACAGGAUUAGAUACCCUGGUAGUCCACGCCGUAAACUAUGAUUACUCGUUUUUACGGCGUAUAUACUAGUACGGUACGACGUAAGUACGAAGUAGUAGUAAGUAAUACCUACCGUACGGGUAGGUACGUAGUACGCGACGGUUAGUAACGUAACGUAAAGAAGUUAGUACGGACGUGAGACGUAGACGACGACGACGACGAGGGAGGAGG
Molecule: ribosomal RNA, 646 nt
Filed under: uncultured bacterium
Lineage: Bacteria
Description: bacterial SSU rRNA
Rfam family: Bacterial small subunit ribosomal RNA (bases 1-549)
Source: RNAcentral